AUGCGCAGCCCAUCAAGAAACUUCGGACUGCAUGCACAAAGCGCAAAGCUACUGCCACCACGUAAGCCAAUUGCUAAACGGCGCAUCUCCCAAUCUCCCUCGGCAGCCAAGCCAGGCACGAGGAGAAGAGGCCGACCGGCCGGAGAUCGACCGAGAUGCAUCCGUCGUCGAGCUACUAACCUGUCAUCCUCUUCGUCGUCGUCGUCUUCGGCGGUGGCGGCGUCGGUGCCUGGUGGGCCGAGCGGGAAUGCGGGGAUGGACGUGGACCAGCUGCCGGUGUACGACCCGCACUCGGACACGGCCAAGAAAGAGGCCCUCGACGCCUCCCGCGCCAACCUCGCCCACGCCCUCGUCCACCUCGUCCCCGUCGUCGUCCUCCUCUGCGGGCUCCUCCUCUGGUCGCUCUCCACCACCCCCGUCCCCCCCGCCGAGGUGGGCGUGAUUGUGCUAAAGAAGGAAAGACCAAUGGCGCUGAAGAGUGGGCCCGAGCACAGCUCGAACGGCCCUCACAUGGUGGCUGCGAUGGAGGAUACGGAUCCGGUAGGCAACACUGCUGGGAGAAGAAUAAAGAAGGACGGACUUAAGAAAUGA
This 591-nucleotide ribosomal RNA is filed under the name Triticum aestivum (bread wheat). Its description in RNAcentral is "partial small subunit ribosomal RNA". The record is from RNAcentral. Lineage: Eukaryota; Viridiplantae; Streptophyta; Magnoliopsida; Poales; Poaceae.